This 541-nucleotide transfer RNA is filed under the name uncultured cyanobacterium. RNAcentral's name for it is "partial 16S-23S ribosomal RNA intergenic spacer". The stretch from base 212 to 284 matches the Rfam family "tRNA". The record is from RNAcentral. Lineage: Bacteria; Bacillati; Cyanobacteriota.
CAGGGAGACAACAAAAUGUUUAAUAUUAUAAUUUUGUCACCUUAGGUCGAUCGGUAUCUCACGUUCUUAAUUAGUUAAGAAUUUCAUUUCCUAAGUUUUUCUAGGUCACACCCAUUAUUUUUCCUGGGCCAUUAGCUCAGGUGGUUAGAGCGCACCCCUGAUAAGGGUGAGGUCCCUGGUUCAAGUCCAGGAUGGCCCAUAUCUCUAUGUUGGGGGUAUAGCUCAGUUGGUAGAGCGCCUGCUUUGCAAGCAGGAUGUCAGCGGUUCGAGUCCGCUUACCUCCACUGAUUACCACCUCUUCCAUAACCGGUAGAAAGGAAAUGUUUUGAGUUGUGAUCAUUAUUCUGAACGAAUCUAGCUUCCUAAUGAAACCAUUAAGAUGCUGGACUCAUUGAAUUAAUUUCAUUGUUUUCAGAGAACCUUGACAACUGCAUAGAUUUUUUUAAAGACAAUAAGCAUCUCUAAUGAUGCAGAUUUAUUAUUUGUGCGAAUGCAUUAAUAACAAUUCUAUUAAGCUGAUGCUUCAAUUUUUGAAGUUAUU